RNAcentral lists this long non-coding RNA (725 nucleotides) under Homo sapiens (human). RNAcentral describes it as "non-protein coding lnc-KCNH1-2:2". Lineage: Eukaryota; Metazoa; Chordata; Mammalia; Primates; Hominidae. The record is from RNAcentral.
UGCAGUCGCGCAGUAUAGCAGGGCGGCCUUGGGGCUCUGAGGCCCAACCGGCGAAAGAAGUAGACUCGGCCCUAACCAUCUCGACGCUACAAUUUUUGUUUCUGGAUCUCUGAACUGGGGAGUGAGUGCUGUGGAGUGAGGGGGAAAUAAGAUAAACAUGAGACCUGGCCCAGUAGACGCGUUUUCAGUUCUUGCUGACCUGCGGUCUCCGCUUGGAGCGCUGGGGGAGAGGGCGGAGUCCCCCGGCAGAGGUGAAGCGAGAGCUGCUUUCUGGCAGCGUUUCCAGCCUGGAAGGAGUUGUGCUCUGUAAUGCUUUUCUGAAUUGCAUUCGGCGAAAGGAGUAGGAAACUGCGUUUAUUCCUUCACCAGAUUUGAGGGCAUCUGCUGCGUGCCAGGCUGCCUGGCAUUGGGGGCUGUUUAUGAUUUUCUUUUCCUCUUUUUCUGAUUUCUUCCCCCCCACUGACGAAUAAGUAGAAAUAAGUGAGGAUUUAACUGUGAGCCUCUAGUAUGCAGAUGUAUGCUGAGCGGUAUUGGGGUUCAGCAGAUACUCUCCAAACACUUGAAAAUACUGUCUUGUAAUAAUUCUAUUAUGGGUCAAUCCAGAGUGGAUCAAACCAGAAAUGAACGUCUCUGGCCAGAGCAAACCUUACUGAGAGAAAUAAUAUAUCUAACUCAGGAAUUGAGCCAAGAAAACCCUGGGAAGUAAAUAUUUCUGAAGUGAAAAG